RNAcentral lists this ribosomal RNA (1320 nucleotides) under uncultured marine bacterium. RNAcentral describes it as "16S ribosomal RNA". It matches the Rfam family "Bacterial small subunit ribosomal RNA", at positions 27 to 1392 of the family's 1533-position model. The record is from RNAcentral.
GAACGAACGCUGGCGGCAGGCCUAACACAUGCAAGUCGAGCGCUACCUUCGGGUGGAGCGGCGGACGGGUUAGUAACGCGUGGGAACAUACCCCUUUCUAUGGAAUAGCCUCGGGAAACUGAGAGUAAUACCAUAUACGCCCUUCGGGGGAAAGAUUUAUCGGUGAGGGAUUGGCCCGCGUAAGAUUAGAUAGUUGGUGGGGUAAUGGCCUACCAAGUCUACGAUCUUUAGCUGGUUUUAGAGGAUGAUCAGCCACAUUGGGACUGAGACACGGCCCAAACUCCUACGGGAGGCAGCAGUGGGGAAUCUUGCACAAUGGAGGAAACUCUGAUGCAGCGAUGCCGCGUGAGUGAAGAAGGCCUUUGGGUUGUAAAGCUCUUUCGUCGGGGAAGAAAAUGACUGUACCCGAAUAAGAAGGUCCGGCUAACUUCGUGCCAGCAGCCGCGGUAAUACGAAGGGACCUAGCGUAGUUCGGAAUUACUGGGCUUAAAGAGUUCGUAGGUGGUUGAAAAAGUUGGUGGUGAAAUCCCAGAGCUUAACUCUGGAACUGCCAUCAAAACUUUUCAGCUAGAGUAUGAUAGAGGAAAGCAGAAUUUCUAGUGUAGAGGUGAAAUUCGUAGAUUAUUAGAAAGAAUACCAAUUUGCGAAAGGCAGCUUUCUGGAUCAUUACUGACACUGAGGAACGAAAGCAUGGGUAGCGAAGAGGAUUAGAUACCCUCGUAGUCCAUGCCGUAAACGAUGUGUGUUAGACGUUGGAAAUUUAUUUUCAGUGUCGCAGGGAAACCGAUAAACACACCGCCUGGGGAGUACGACCGCAAGGUUAAAACUCAAAUGAAUUGACGGGGACCCGCACAAGUAGUGGAGCAUGUGGUUUAAUUCGAAGAUACGCGCAGAACCUUACCAACACUUGACAUGUUCGUCGCGACUCUAAGAGAUUAGAGUUUUCGGUUCGGCCGGACGAAACACAGGUGCUGCAUGGCUGUCGUCAGCUCGUGUCGUGAGAUGUUGGGUUAAGUCCCGCAACGAGCGCAACCCUCACUUUUAGUUGCCAUCAUUAAGUUGGGCACUCUGAAAGAACUGCCAGUGAUAAGCUGGAGGAAGGUGGGGAUGACGUCAAGUCCUCAUGGCCCUUACGUGUUGGGCUACACACGUGCUACAAUGGCAUCUACAACAGGAAGCAAAACGGCAACGUUAAGCAAAUCCCGAAAAGAUGCCUCAGUUCGGAUUGCACUCUGCAACUCGAGUGCAUGAAGCUGGAAUUACUAGUAAUCGUGGAUCAGCGUGCCACGGUGAAUGCGUUCCCGGGUCUUGUACUCACCG